GGUCAUCUCAGAUUUGAUAAGGUCAGAAAACAUGGGCUAACUUUUCCUUCCACAGCAUGUCACAAGGGCUAACUUUUCUCUCCACAGCAUAUGUCACAAGGGCUUACCUUUCCUUUACACAGUAUGUCACAAGGGCUAACUUUGCCUUCCACUCUCAGAUUUGGUAAGGUCAGAUAACAUCACAAGGGCUAACUUUCCUCUUCACAGCAUGUCACAAGGGCUAACCUUUCUUUUCACAGUAUGCCAUAUGGGCUAACUUUUCUCUCAACUGUCAGAUUUGGUGAGGUCAGGUAAUGAUCACAAGGGCUAACUUUUCUUUCCACAGCAGGUCACAAGAGCUAACUUUUCCCUUCUCUCUCAGAUUUGUUAAGAUCAGGUAACGUCGAAAGGGCUAACUUUUCUUUUUACUGUAUGUCAUAAAGGCUAACUUUUCCUUCCUUUCUCAAAUUUGGUGAAGUCAGGUAACAUCACAAGGGCUAACUUUUCCUUCCAAUCUCAGGUGAGGUCAAGUAUUGGCACAAGGGCUAGUUUCCUUCCACAGUGUGUCAUAAGGGCUAACUUUUCAUUUUGCUCUCAGAUUUGUUCAGGUCCAGCUAGAAGCGUCAAAGAGGGCUAACUUUUUAAGUUACGUCACAAAGGGCUAAUUUCCCUCCACAGCAUGUCAUAAGGGCUAACUUUUUCUUCCACCCUCAGAUUUGGUGAGGUCAGGUAACGACACAGGGCUAACUUUUCCUUCCACAGCAUGUCACAAGGGCUAACUUUUCCUUCCACAGUAUGUCAUAAGGGCUAACUUUUCCUUUUACUCUCAUAUUUCUUAAGGUCCAGUAACGUCAAAGAGGGCUAACUUUUCCUUUGACUCUCAGACUUGGUGAGGUCAGGUUAUGUCACAAGGGCCAGUUUUGCCCUCCACUCUCAGAUUUGGUGAGGUCAAGUAACGUCACAAGGGCAAAUUUCCUUCCACAGUAUGUCAUAAGGAUUCAAUUUAAGGGCUAACUUUUCAUUAUACUCUCAGAUUUGCUAAGGUCCAGAAACGUCAAAGAGGGCUAACUUUUCCUUCUACUCUCAGAUUUGUUGAGGUCAGGUAAUGGCGCAAGGGCUAACUUUUCUCUCCACAGCAUGUCAUAAUGGCUAUCUUUUCCUUUUCUCUGACAGAUUUUUUAAGGUCCAGUAACGUCAAAAAGGGCUAUUUUUUCUCUUCACAGCAUGUCACAAGGGCUAACUUUUCCUUCCACAGCAUGUCACAAUGGCUAAAUUUCCUUCCACUCUCAGAUUUGUUAAGGUCAGGUACUACGCUAACGUCACAAGGGCUAACUUUUCCUUUCACAGCAUGCUAACACCCCUUUUCUUCUAGAAUUUCUUUAUAGCUUUUAAGAUACAUGAAGAAGUGUCUUAAGCCAAAACAUCAAACAGAGGAGGCUGGAAAGUGGUUUCAAGAGGAGCGCACUACAUCAGGUAUAAUGAGUGCAGAAAGGUCAGAAGGACAGCUUGAGUUGCAGUGAUGUGCAUCUGCCAGUGAGUGUGUGCAGGUUCAAGAAUCAACAACUUCACAAAGAGGCCAUGUUCAAGUUUGACUGAUGCCCAGUUUUGUAGCAGUGAAUCAAGAUCUCGAAGAGGAUCCAGCUACAAAGUACUACAACUUCAAACACUGGUGAUCAUCGUUACCUGGACCAUAGUGGUGCGCUCUGUGCAAGAAAAUCAGAACCAUGUAAAAAUACAGUUGGGACGAAACCCAAGGAAACAGCAUUUGAUUUUUACUUUUCCAUAGGGCUUUCGUCGCAAAACAGCAUAAAUACAUCAAAUUUUUGGUACUAUAGAUUUUUGUAGCUAAAGUUAAUCAUACUUUUUGCAACCUCUAGAUCUGGAAUCUGGACUCUGAUAUAUGAACAGAAGUUAUUUCUUGCAUAAAAGUCAAGACCUGGAUGGUUUUUUUUUUCAUAUACUUCAACAAAAACAUUGCCCUUUAUAAACAAGAAUGGGUUGUUACAAAAGCACACAAAGAAGUACAUCAAGUGUCAUGGCUAGAUCAAGUUUAAAUUUAGAGCCAAAAUUUGUUUGGGUUUUAAAACUUUUAUGAAAAUCAGAGUAUUCUACUUGGAUUGAAAACACAAACUUACUUGGUAAAGAGUUAUGAAAAGCACUUAUACAACAUUGUUAAAAAGAACCCCUUGUGAUGUAGUUUUAGAGAAAGAGGUAAUUAUUCCUUCCAAAAACUUGAAUCUCAAGCAUCUUAAGGUACACAAUUCUAUGUAUUUUUUUGUAAAUUUGAUGCCAAAAAUUAACAGGUUUUUUAUUUUAUGCAUAAUUUGUUUGGAUACACUAAAAAUGAGGAUACUGGUCUUUGGCAUUUACCAAUGUAUACCCUGCAUUUAAAGGACGAUAAUACUUGUUCAUGCAACUCAAGAUGUACACUGACUGUACUUAUGUUUCAUCAUUGAUCACCUGCCCGGAAUGAAUACACCCAAAAUGGCACUUGUUAAUUGUGGUAGUUUGGAUGGAUACAAACCUCAAAUGUUCUUUAUGUGCCUUGUUGCUUUAAGCCAAAACCCAACAAAUUUUUAGGCUUACUUGGUUACCAUCCAAAACAGCAUGUCACACUCUGUGAAACUGGUGUCCGGCUUAUUUUUAAUAAAUUUUAAUAAGUAUAAUA
Asterias rubens (European starfish) is the source of this 2647-nucleotide long non-coding RNA. RefSeq lists it as uncharacterized. Lineage: Eukaryota; Metazoa; Echinodermata; Asteroidea; Forcipulatida; Asteriidae. The transcript has 3 exons. The record is from RefSeq and is a predicted model, not a curated record.